AGUGAACGCUGGCGGUAGGCCUAACACAUGCAAGUCGAACGGCAGCACAGGAGAGCUUGCUCUCUGGGUGGCGAGUGGCGGACGGGUGAGGAAUACAUCGGAAUCUACUCUGUCGUGGGGGAUAACGUAGGGAAACUUACGCUAAUACCGCAUACGACCUACGGGUGAAAGCAGGGGAUCUUCGGACCUUGCGCGAUUGAAUGAGCCGAUGUCGGAUUAGCUAGUUGGCGGGGUAAAGGCCCAGCAAGGCGACGAUCAGUAGCUGGUCUUAGAGGAUGACAAGCCACACUGGAACUGAGACACGGUCCAGACUCCAGCGGGAGGCAGCAGUGGGGAAUAUUGGACAAUGGGCGCAAGCCUGAUCCAGCCAUACCGCGUGGGUGAAGAAGGCCUUCGGGUUGUAAAGCCCUUUUGUUGGGAAAGAAAUCCAGCUGGCUAAUACCCGGUUGGGAUGACGGUACCCAAAGAAUAAGCACCGGCUAACUUCGUGCCAGCCGCCGCGGUAA
Molecule: ribosomal RNA, 506 nt
Filed under: uncultured bacterium
Lineage: Bacteria
Description: partial 16S ribosomal RNA
Rfam family: Bacterial small subunit ribosomal RNA
Source: RNAcentral